This is a long non-coding RNA of Panicum virgatum (switchgrass), 2360 nucleotides long. RefSeq lists it as uncharacterized. Lineage: Eukaryota; Viridiplantae; Streptophyta; Magnoliopsida; Poales; Poaceae. The transcript is spliced from 5 exons. The record is from RefSeq and is a predicted model, not a curated record.
CACGAAUCGUUGCGAACCCACUCAGCCGUCUCCGCUGGCCUCUCCGCCUGCCUCGCCGCCCGCCGCCCUUCCCCAACCGCGCCGCCUGCGCCUCCCUCCGCUUGCAACAACCGCCGUUGUCCUCCCUGCCAGGCAACCCACCGAUGUCAUCUUCCUGGCGCCGACUCCUUUCCCGCGGUGGCCACUAGCCCGCGCGAGGCCAGGCCGAGGCUAGUAGCGGCGCCCGCGAACCAGCGGAGGGCAGGUCCAGGCGAUGCGGCCACCGCCGCCGCCGCCUCCAUCGUUUGCUCCUCCCUCGACAACUCCUCUGCCGGCGUUGCCUCGGCCUCGACCUCGUCAUCAGCCUCGUCCGAGCCGACGCCCAGGCGAUGCCACCUAAUCCUCAAGUGAUGGGCGCGCGCGUGCACCAUCCUCGAAGACCACGGCGGCGGCGGCGGCGCGCGGCGGCGGCUCGCUCUGGGAGGCGCUCCCCGCCAUCGCUGUCGUCGGUGGGCAGAGUUCCGGGAAGUCAUUGGUGCUCGAGAGCAUAGUGGGGAGGGACUUCCUGCCUCGUGGAUCUGGUAAUGUUGUGGCUGGAUCGCGUGCGUGCUCUUUCAUUUCAAUCUAAUGCUCCGCAGGAGGACGGCGGGAGAGAUGAGUAGCACAACGGCAGCCUCGACAUCCAAUCGCUCCACCUCCACCAUGGCUCCUGCGGAGAGGAAAGCGACGGAAAAGAGCAACAUGGCCACCGCCUCUAUCGAUGGAGACGACUGCAUAGAUAGCGGCAGCAGGGCUGUAUGGUUCCACAAUUCCAUCUCCGUGCUCAUGGCUAUCAGGAGCCUCUCAACCCCGAAAUCCAAUCAGCUUAUCUUUAGCCUGCGAGUCUCCGGACGACUGCUUCCCGGUUGGAGAAGGUGAUUGCUGGUCAGAAGAACUGAAGAAGCUCAAGUUCGCCUGGUAGUCUUGGGUCGUUGAAAAUUGACCCUUCGCUUUGGCCCUUCAGCUGGUUGGCUUCGCUCGAUGUCACACGCUGGUUGGCCUUCGCCCGGCAACCACCCCCAACAUAGUACUAUCAUUAGCCGUUGACAAAGAACUAUUGUUUUGCACUAUAUACAUUACCAUCAAUAAUAAUAAUUUCUCAAGGAAUUGUAGACUAUGAGAGGACUUGCAUACAUACAAUCUUUUUGACUAAAUGUUUCUCAGGGCUUUUAAAACAAAGUUACCCUGAGUUUGGUUUCCAUGGGGACUUGCCUCAAGGAGACAUGCCUACUCAGAUGCCUCUGCACUACAAAAGCACAGUGCCUUUCCUAAAAUACUCGACAGGUACACAUUUCUCACAAGUAGUUUUCUUUUUUACCUAAGCCUUUUUAGCUUUCCUCACACAACUCAAAUGUCUGUCAACUGCGGGAAUUGCAUAGAGCAAGUAUUAUAAUGUGUACUGUCAAAGCCAUAAAAGAAAUGUGUACUGCAGGUAUUAUAAUGAUCUGGUUUUGAAGCCUUUUAACAUACAUGCCAUGACUGUCAUUGAAAAUGAAUACGCUCCUAUGAUUAUUAUCUGAACUACAUAGUCCACAGUAGAUUCCAAAACUAGACCCUUGACAUGCAUGACAUGAACAUGAAUUACAUGACUUUAAAGGUUUGACCAAGUUAGAGAACACCAUAAUACACUGCUCAUAUGCAUAGUACUAAGUUACUACACUGGACCUCUUUUGAUCAAAGUUACUGCAUGGUUGAGCUUCUGGACAUUCUAUGCAUGAACUGUGAGCAUAUAGCUUUCACCAUACAUAAGAAAAGCUACAUAAUAAUUGUCUUUCAUAAGAAAUGGGAAUAUGCCAAUUUUCACAUCAAAAGGAUAUGCCUGUGGUUGCAUUACUCCAUAAUAAUUUCCUAAUCAACAUGCUUAAAGCAGAUUAUACGGAAUUCAUAGAGCAAAAGCUGGAUCUUAUGUCUACUGUCCUUUUUUUUCUUUCCCUCACAAGGUACUCCAGAGGUUUGCAGAUACUGCAAUUCAAGCAAAACUAGUAUUAAACUUCGUCUUCUCAAGAGCUCUGCAUUAGGUCAAUCUGCAUAAAGGAAACUUUCUGUUAUACUCACAUAUACACAUACCACAUGAAGCUGCCAAAUUAGAUAGUAGAGAUAUAAUACAAACAUAAUGGAUACAUCCAAAGAUUUUGAGCUAAGCAGCUCGGCCUUUCUCAAGAGUUGACAACUUUAAUUUAGCCUUCAGUGACAUGCUACAUCAUGCUAAGUAGUAUUUCUUUGGUAUUCCACACAUAGAGGAUUUCAGCCAUAUUUUAUGGCAGGUCAAGGAAAAAGAAAAAACAUCUUCGUUCCCCUCAAUUAAGCUCCAGACCAGCUUGUGAUUGCAUGUGGCCUGCAAC